RNAcentral lists this ribosomal RNA (556 nucleotides) under uncultured archaeon. RNAcentral describes it as "bacterial SSU rRNA". It matches the Rfam family "Archaeal small subunit ribosomal RNA", at positions 434 to 990 of the family's 1478-position model. The record is from RNAcentral.
UAGCAAGGCCGGCAAGACCGGUGCCAGCCGCCGCGGUAACACCGGCGGCUCGAGUGGUAACCGUUAUUAUUGGGUCUAAAGGGUCUGUAGCCGGCCGGAUAAGUCUCUUGGGAAAUCCAGCAGCCUAACUGUUGGGCUUUCAGGAGAUACUAUUCGGCUCGAGGCCGGGAGAGGUGAGAGGUACUUCAGGGGUAGGGGUGAAAUCUUGUAAUCCUUGAAGGACCACCAGUGGCGAAGGCGUCUCACCAGAACGGACCUGACGGCAAGGGACGAAAGCUAGGGGCACGAACCGGAUUAGAUACCCGGGUAGUCCUAGCCGUAAACGAUACUCGCUAGGUGUCGGCCACGGUGCGACCGUUGUCGGUGCCGUAGGGAAGCCGUGAAGCGAGCCACCUGGGAAGUACGGCCGCAAGGCUGAAACUUAAAGGAAUUGGCGGGGGAGCACCACAACGGGUGGAGCUUGCGGUUUAAUUGGAUUCAACGCCGGAAAUCUUACCGGGACCGACAGCGAUAUGAAGGCCAGGCUGAAGACUUUGCCGGAUUAGCUGAGAAAGUA